UUGAAUUUUAAUGAAGAGUUUGGUUGUAGCUGGCCCAUUCAUUUGGGCAUGUGCACACCUUCCUCUUUCAUCCCACACACACCUGUGAACCUGUGAGACAGAGAUGGGGAAUUUACUUGCUGCUUUUGGAAUACAAAGGCAAUAGGUUAUUGGACCCCCCCUCUGUCUACUCAAUUAAUAUAAACUCAAUUUAUUUUAAAACGAAUGUAAUGGAUGUAACACAUCUCAUAC
RNAcentral lists this unclassified non-coding RNA (231 nucleotides) under soil metagenome. RNAcentral's name for it is "partial internal transcribed spacer 1". The record is from RNAcentral.